RNAcentral lists this ribosomal RNA (467 nucleotides) under uncultured bacterium. Its description in RNAcentral is "partial 16S ribosomal RNA". It matches the Rfam family "Bacterial small subunit ribosomal RNA", at positions 339 to 795 of the family's 1533-position model. The record is from RNAcentral.
CUACGGGUCGCACCAGUGGGGAAUAUUGCGCAAUGGGCGAAAGCCUGACGCAGCGACGCCGCGUGAGUGAUGAAGGUUUUCGGAUCGUAAAGCUCUGUGGGAGAGGGAAGAAAAACUGGUGGGAAUAAUACCCCAUUGGCUUGACGGUACCUUUCCAGAAAGCACCGGCUAACUCCGUGCCAGCAGCCGCGGUAAUACGGAGGGUGCAAACGUUGUUCGGAAUCACUGGGCGUAAAGCGCGUGUAGGCGGCGCAGUAAGUCAGAUGUGAAAGCCCACGGCUCAACCGUGGAAGUGCAUUUGAAGCUGCUGGGCUAGAGUACGGGAGAGGAUGGUGGAAUUCCGGGUGUAGAGGUGAAAUUCGUAGAUAUCCGGAGGAACAUCGGUGGCGAAGGCGGCCAUCUGGACCGAUACUGACGCUGAGACGCGAAAGCGUGGGGAGCAAACAGGAUUAGAUACCCCCGUAGUC